CGCAGAGGGAAGGGGUGGCCUCCAGGCGCCUGCACCCCAAGCGUCACUGGCCUCAAUCAGGGGCCGGGCCGGGGUCUCCAAAGUCGCCACAGAACAGGCGCGGGAGCGCCCAGAGGCCACGGUCUCGGGAAAAGUCUCCGCUUCGGCUCCAGUGGGCUGCGACCCGCAAGGUUGCACAGGAAGGAAAUAAAAGAUUUCGGCUGAGAUUACACUCGAAAACACCAGGGAGCCCGGCUUCCACGCGCGGCAUUACUCUUCUGCCCCGAAAACCAGGAGAUUCAAAAGGAAAAGAAGUCCGGCUGUCGGCGGUCGUCAGAGGCUGGGAAGCAGUGCUGCUCACUGUCACCGACUCCUGGCUGGGAGCCCAGGGGCAAGGAGUCUCGUCUGGUGCCUUCUGCAGCCGCAUCAAGGUGGCCGACUGGCAGCUCCAGAGCCUUCAGAACCUUCCAGAGACCACAGAACUUGACCAGGGUGCAGCAUGGUGGAUGGGGGCCCAGAGCAACCCAAGGACAGGAGGCCUCACAGGAGAACGGCUGCAGGCAGAGCCGCGCAGCAGGACUCAGACCUGACUGGGAGGCGAUGGCUUGCACAGUCCUCCUGCCCCCUGCUGGCCAUCCUGUCACUCGCCCCACGGCCCCCUGGAGGCCAGACGCCUGGAUGCUGGAGCCUGCAACGGAGGGCCUAGAAGGAGGCCAGUGUCGGCACCACACGUGGAAGAUUCUGGAAACUCAACCCCUUGCUGGCCUCACAACAUACAGAGCCCCACACAGCCACCCUCCUUGUUGGCAGUCACCGCGGACCCUGAGGACAGCAGAGGCAGAUGGCCUGGGGGCUCCCGGCCUGCUCUGAGCUGGGGCCUUCCCUGACCUCUCUCACCUCGUGGCCCUCACCUGGACCAGUCAGCAGGCCCUGCUGCAAGACCGGCAAGAGUGCCUGGCCUAGUGCCUCCAGGGCAGGUCCUGAGAGCGGUGCUGGCCUGCCACUGGGGGGCGCUCGCUGGCUGGCAGCCCCACGGCCGCAUCACCGGGAAGCACCUGGAGA
Molecule: long non-coding RNA, 1041 nt
Filed under: Camelus dromedarius (Arabian camel)
Lineage: Eukaryota; Metazoa; Chordata; Mammalia; Artiodactyla; Camelidae
Description: lncRNA (ENSCDRG00005007738.1)
Source: RNAcentral